UGAAGAUGGCGACCGGCGCACGGGUGAGUAACACGUAUCCAACCUGCCGAUAACUCCGGAAUAGCCUUUCGAAAGAAAGAUUAAUACCGGAUGGCAUACGAAUAUCGCAUGAUAUUUUUAUUAAAGAAUUUCGGUUAUCGAUGGGGAUGCGUUCCAUUAGUUUGUUGGCGGGGUAACGGCCCACCAAGACUACGAUGGAUAGGGGUUCUGAGAGGAAGGUCCCCCACAUUGGAACUGAGACACGGUCCAAACUCCUACGGGAGGCAGCAUG
Molecule: ribosomal RNA, 271 nt
Filed under: uncultured bacterium
Lineage: Bacteria
Description: partial 16S ribosomal RNA
Rfam family: Bacterial small subunit ribosomal RNA
Source: RNAcentral